Molecule: unclassified non-coding RNA, 451 nt
Filed under: Hevea brasiliensis (rubber tree)
Lineage: Eukaryota; Viridiplantae; Streptophyta; Magnoliopsida; Malpighiales; Euphorbiaceae
Source: RNAcentral
CAUAUAAUUACCAUCUAAAACCUAGCCGCCAAAGUCUCCACUUUCCUUAAUUGACGGUCCGAUCCCGUUCCUCACCAGUCUCAACUCGUCUCUCUCUAUAAUCUCUUUCGUCCGAUUUAACUCCGGCCACUGUCUGCUCUCAUCUCAGCUUGCUUGAAAUUAUUCUACUUUUCAUAAAAAAUUUCCCCAAUUUCUCCUAUCUUUUUACUCGUUACUUCUGGCUUCUAAAAGACCUCGCCAGUGAUUCUUUGGAUGGGGUAUAAGUUUUGAUCUUUAGGAGCAAGCUCACGUGAAUUAGGAGGAAUAUGGAAGGAAUUGUUGGUGCGAAUUUAUUGACCUAUUGCAAGUACUGAACUGAGUAAGAGUCAAAGAGGAAGCAUUGGCUGACGAGAUUCAGUUUCAUUCAAAAUGGAGACUUGCAACUGUGUUGAGCCACAAUGGCCAGCUGAGG